Molecule: ribosomal RNA, 226 nt
Filed under: uncultured bacterium
Lineage: Bacteria
Description: partial 16S ribosomal RNA
Rfam family: Bacterial small subunit ribosomal RNA
Source: RNAcentral
UGAGUAACACGUAUCCAACCUGCCGUCUACUCUUGGACAGCCUUCUGAAAGGAAGAUUAAUACAAGAUGGCAUCAUGAGUUCACAUGUUCACAUGAUUAAAGGUAUUCCGGUAGACGAUGGGGAUGCGUUCCAUUAGAUAGUAGGCGGGGUAACGGCCCACCUAGUCUUCGAUGGAUAGGGGUUCUGAGAGGAAGGUCCCCCACAUUGGAACUGAGACACGGCCAA